GUACGGGAGGCAGCAGUGGGGAAUAUUGCACAAUGGGCGGAAGCCUGAUGCAGCAACGCCGCGUGAGGGAUGACGGCCUUCGGGUUGUAAACCUCUUUUAGCAGGGAAGAAGCGUGAGUGACGGUACCUGCAGAAAAAGCGCCGGCUAACUACGUGCCAGCAGCCGCGGUAAUACGUAGGGCGCAAGCGUUAUCCGGAAUUAUUGGGCGUAAAGAGCUCGUAGGCGGUUUGUCGCGUCUGCUGUGAAAUCCCGAGGCUCAACCUCGGGCCUGCAGUGGGUACGGGCAGACUAGAGUGCGGUAGGGGAGAUUGGAAUUCCUGGUGUAGCGGUGGAAUGCGCAGAUAUCAGGAGGAACACCGAUGGCGAAGGCAGAUCUCUGGGCCGUAACUGACGCUGAGGAGCGAAAGGGUGGGGAGCAAACAGGCUUAGAUACCCUGGUAGUCCACCCCGUAAACGUUGGGAACUAGUUGUGGGGUCCUUUCCACGGAUUCCGUGACGCAGCUAACGCAUUAAGUUCCCCGCCUGGGGAGUACGGCCGCAAGGCUAAAACUCAAAGGAAUUGACGGGGACCCGCACAAGCGGCGGAGCAUGCGGAUUAAUUCGAUGCAACGCGAAGAACCUUACCAAGGCUUGACAUACACGAGAACGGGCCAGAAAUGGUCAACUCUUUGGACACUCGUGAACAGGUGGUGCAUGGUUGUCGUCAGCUC
This 711-nucleotide ribosomal RNA is filed under the name Microbacterium sp. CVD100C. RNAcentral's name for it is "bacterial SSU rRNA". It matches the Rfam family "Bacterial small subunit ribosomal RNA", at positions 339 to 1061 of the family's 1533-position model. Lineage: Bacteria; Bacillati; Actinomycetota; Actinomycetes; Micrococcales; Microbacteriaceae. The record is from RNAcentral.